GAGAGUAAGGGCGCACGGUGGAUGCCUUGGCACUAGGAGCCGAAGAAGGACGUGACAAACGACGAAAUGCCUCGGGGAGCUGUAAGUAAGCGCUGAUCCGGGGAUGUCCGAAUGGGGGAACCCAACAGGUACUACCUGUUACCCAUCUCUGUUAAGGAGAUGAGGAGGAAGACGCAGUGAACUGAAACAUCUAAGUAGCUGCAGGAAGAGAAAGCAAAAGCGAUUGCCUUAGUAGCGGCGAGCGAAACGGCAGGAGGGCAAACCGAAGAGUUUACUCUUCGGGGUUGUAGGACUGCAAUGUGGACUCAGAUUUUAUAGAAGAAUGACAUGGGAAGGUCAGCCAAAGAGAGUAAGAGCCUCGUAUUUUAAAUAGAAUCUGUACCUAGCAGAAUCCUGAGUACGGCGGGACACGUGAAAUCCCGUCGGAAUCUGGGAGGACCAUCUCCCAACCCUAAAUACUCCCUAGUGACCGAUAGUGAACCAGUACCGUGAGGGAAAGGUGAAAAGCACCCCGACAAGGGGAGUGAAACAGAUCCUGAAAUCGGAAGCCUACAAGCAGUCGGAGCCCCCAAGCGGGGUGACGGCGUACCUUUUG
RNAcentral lists this ribosomal RNA (595 nucleotides) under Aurantiochytrium limacinum. Its description in RNAcentral is "partial Bacterial large subunit ribosomal RNA". It matches the Rfam family "Bacterial large subunit ribosomal RNA", at positions 1 to 610 of the family's 2925-position model. The record is from RNAcentral. Lineage: Eukaryota; Bigyra; Thraustochytrida; Thraustochytriidae.